GUGCUAAUUUUGGCAGCACACAUACUAGCAUUGGAACAAUCUAGAGAAGAUUAGCAUGGCCCCAGGCAGAUUUGUGAAGCAUUCUGUAUUUUU
This is a small nuclear RNA of Papio anubis (olive baboon), 93 nucleotides long. The record is from Ensembl. NCBI's taxonomy places the organism in Eukaryota, Metazoa, Chordata, Mammalia, Primates, Cercopithecidae.